This 119-nucleotide ribosomal RNA is filed under the name Petromyzon marinus (sea lamprey). The record is from RNAcentral. Lineage: Eukaryota; Metazoa; Chordata; Hyperoartia; Petromyzontiformes; Petromyzontidae.
ACAUGGGGCCAAAUCACCCUGAGUGGGCAAAUUUUCGUCAGAUUUUAUAAACGCAGCAGGCUUGAGCCUGGUUAGUACUUGGAUGGGUGACUGUCUGGGAAUACCAGAUGUUAUAGGCU